GAUGAACGCUGGCGGCGUGCCUAAUACAUGCAAGUCGAGCGAACAGAUAAGGAGCUUGCUCCUUUGACGUUAGCGGCGGACGGGUGAGUAACACGUGGAUAACCUACCUAUAAGACUGGGAUAACUUCGGGAAACCGGAGCUAAUACCGGAUAACAUAUUGAACCGCAUGGUUCAAUAGUGAAAGGCGGCUUUGCUGUCACUUAUAGAUGGAUCCGCGCCGUAUUAGCUAGUUGGUAAGGUAACGGCUUACCAAGGCAACGAUACGUAGCCGACCUGAGAGGGUGAUCGGCCACACGGGAACUGAGACACGGUCCAGACUCCUACGGGAGGCAGCAGUAGGGAAUCUGCCGCAAUGGGCGAAAGCCUGACGGAGCAACGCCGCGUGAGUGAUGAAGGUCUUCGGAGCGGAAAACUCUGUUAUCAGGGAAGAACAAAUGUGUAAGUAACUGUGCACAUCGUGACGGUACCUGAUCAGAAAGCCACGGCUAACUACGUG
This 497-nucleotide ribosomal RNA is filed under the name uncultured bacterium. RNAcentral describes it as "partial 16S ribosomal RNA". It matches the Rfam family "Bacterial small subunit ribosomal RNA", at positions 28 to 507 of the family's 1533-position model. The record is from RNAcentral.